Molecule: ribosomal RNA, 497 nt
Filed under: uncultured bacterium
Lineage: Bacteria
Description: partial 16S ribosomal RNA
Rfam family: Bacterial small subunit ribosomal RNA
Source: RNAcentral
GAUGAACGCUGGCGGCGUGCCUAAUACAUGCAAGUCGAGCGAACAGAUGAGGAGCUUGCUCCUCUGACGUUAGCGGCGGACGGGUGAGUAACACGUGGAUAACCUACCUAUAAGACUGGGAUAACUUCGGGAAACCGGAGCUAAUACCGGAUGAUAUAUUGAACCGCAUGGUUCAAUAGUGAAAGACGGUUUUGCUGUCACUUAUAGAUGGAUCCGCGCCGCAUUAGCUAGUUGGUAAGGUAACGGCUUACCAAGGCAACGAUGCAUAGCCGACCUGAGAGGGUGAUCGGCCACACUGGAACUGAGACACGGUCCAGACUCCUACGGGAGGCAGCAGUAGGGAAUCUUCCGCAAUGGGCGAAAGCCUGACGGAGCAACGCCGCGUGAGUGAUGAAGGUCUUCGGAUCGUAAAACUCUGUUAUUAGGGAAGAACAAAUGUGUAGGUAACUAUGCACGUCUUGACGGUACCUAAUCAGAAAGCCACGGCUAACUACGUG